Molecule: long non-coding RNA, 1379 nt
Organism: Anser cygnoides (Swan goose)
Lineage: Eukaryota; Metazoa; Chordata; Aves; Anseriformes; Anatidae
Source: Ensembl
AUGGCACGAGCUGUGCUGCACCUCGGGAAGGGCUCCACUGCUGGCACCGGCACCAGCACCGGCCUCAGAGAUGACCUGGUUCCUCGGCAGAUAAAUCCCGUUGGGGCAGCAAGGUGCCUUUCUCCCCAGUGCCCUGAUAUCUCAGCCAAGGCUUGCAGGGCUGCACCCAUCCUGCAGGACUUGUCAGGGCUGCCGUGCACCGGCACCAAGGUGAGGCUGGGCAAGGCUGAACGAGGAGCCUUUCCUGGGGCUCCGUGCCCUGUGCUGCAUGCUGCAAGGAUGGCCAGGAUGUGCUGGCCAUGCUCCCUGCUGCAUGACGUGCGACCCACUGCGGGCUCAGCACCCUGCUGCAUUGCAUGCAUCUUGCUGCAGGGCGUGCACCCUGCUGCAAGGCGUGCACCCUGCUGCACAGCAUGCAUCCUGCUGAAAGCCAUGCAUCCUGCUGCACAGCAUGCAUCUUGCUGCAAGGCGUGCCCCCCCCUGCAGGCAGCACACCCCGUGUCAGCAACACUCGUGCGUUACUGCGCCCAGCCUGUGUCCGUGCAACGCCCCGGCAAUCUGGAGACCCAAAUCACAUCGCUCUCUGCUGGAAAGUCUCCAGGUGCUAAUGAAAUAUUUAUGAGUCAAGGCAUACAAGGACUCAGAUGCAAGGAAAGGAACUGUUUUUAUCGUGAAGAUGAACUUGAGGGGAACAUUUUAUUAGAGAGCAUGCAGUUGUAAAACACUGCGUUCAGGAGAGGCUGGUGCGUGAUUUCGCUCCCGUGGAGCAAGGCUCCGGCACCGAGCUGGAAAGCGAAGCAUUUCCUCGCCUGUCCUCACGGUGCUGUGCAUGGGGCUGAGGUCCUCCUGAGGACGGGGUCUGCUCUGAAAGACAGCUGGUGGGGAACAGCACGUGCUGUCCAAGCCAGCAUCCUUGCCCUUCCACUGGUGUUUUCUCACCCUUGCAACCUCCUGGCUUCGGUAGGAGACGCAAAGUGCCACCUGCAAGAAGUGCUGCCAAUGCAUCAAGGAGGGCUCGGGGAAGGCUACCCAGAACCCAGCAGGAAAACAGCUCAUCCGGGAUGGAAAAACUUCCCCUGGAGGUGCAGGACGGAGCCUGCAGCCACAUUCAGAAGGACACCAGGCGCCGGAGCUGCCUCUAAGCCUGCUCCAAGGGCAGGGAGCUCCGCGGCAGGUCCUGCUCUCCAGCACCAGGUUAUUUGUCAGGUUUGAGUUUCUCUCAGCUUUCCUUUUAAAAUAAUUAAAGUGUCAGCGCCGGUUCACAGGCUGGUCAACGUUUUAAUUCCGCCCUAACUUUAUAAGGCAAUUUCAUGAAUUAUACAGUGUGGUAACAGAAGGAGCUAAAUAAAGAUGCAACACUAGCUGUGUUUAAUAAAUAC